RNAcentral lists this long non-coding RNA (250 nucleotides) under Eucalyptus grandis. RNAcentral describes it as "long non-coding RNA (EGRA_LNC007060)". Lineage: Eukaryota; Viridiplantae; Streptophyta; Magnoliopsida; Myrtales; Myrtaceae. The record is from RNAcentral.
AUUAUUUAUUUUCUGAAAAUUCAAGGGAGAUGGUCUGGAACCGGAAUAUUAUGCGGAUGACUGUGGUGAAGUCCGUUUAUUUAAUCGGGCUUUAUUUUAAGCUAGAUUGAAUUUUUAAUAUUAAUUAAUUUUCGAAAUUAAUUAUUUAUUUAUUUAUUUCCUGAAAAUUCAACUGGGAUGACCCGUGACCGGAAAAUUAUGCUGAUGACCGUGGUGAAGUCUGUUUAUUUAAUUGGACCUUAUUUUGAGC